Long non-coding RNA from Daphnia pulicaria, 1012 nucleotides. RefSeq lists it as uncharacterized. Lineage: Eukaryota; Metazoa; Arthropoda; Branchiopoda; Diplostraca; Daphniidae. The record is from RefSeq and is a predicted model, not a curated record. The transcript has 4 exons.
ACAGAUUAUUGUCACCUCCAAGUGUGCUUGGCAUCCACUAAGUAAUGGAAGAUAUCUUUACAUUUCUUUUUAGGUUUCAAAUUUAAACAGUAUUAUCGUUUAGGCUUUUUCAUGCUGGUCCUGGCUUACUAACUCUUCUUGCCGAAGCUAACUAUGAAUUACUGAAUGGUAGUUCACCCGAUAUAACAUGGCUUUUGUGUGUAAAAAGCUUGGAGAGAGAAGCAAGUUCAACCAAACCUCAACUUUGAUCAAAUCUUGGUUGAGUAUGGUUGUCAGGCAGAUUAUAAUUUCCACGACAAAUCCAAGUUGGCGUGGGAAAGCCGGCUAUCUUGUGUUUCUGUGUCGGAACUGUUUCAUGGGAUAGUUUAAUAGGUUAACCAGAUGCAGCUGCAGCCAAUAUUCUUCAUGUAGUGCGUGCUGGCGCUAAAAAAGGAACAUUGGGAUCGUUUGUAGCAACCUGGACUGAUUUAGUGGCCUCAGGAUCGUUACAUUUUGCUUGGCCAUUAGGAUGGAUUUUACAGGCUUGUUUGGCUUGGAAUCAUUCCAUUCACUGGUUAAAAUAUCUGAUGAUAUUCUCCACUUCAAGAAUCAUACAUUCAAUUGAUUAAAUUCCAGGACUACAUUCAAAAUUCGUUUGCCGAACUUUCUUCACUGUGGGUUUUGAAUGAAUACCAUCGCUUGACAGACGUUUUUCAAUCGAGAUAGGGCGAUUAGAAACUUGGCUUUUUCGUCACGCGCGUGUGGAACUUUGAUCUCCCAAUGUAUUAGAUUCUGCAUCCGGCCUUCUUUACCCCCAAAGGAAGGAUCUUUUCACUACCGCUUGCUUUUAGAUCCCGACAGUUGAUGAAGAUAACCUUAAUAUGGAAUGCGUUGUGCGAACUAUUUGCCAUAAAAAAAUUGACAAACUGCUAACUGAAGAAACCGUUGUAAUAUUGCUCUUCAAGCCCUUCUCUCUACCAAUUUCCUUCUCCUGGCUUGUCGGUAAGAAAUUUGUGCUAAUUUUAUUAUGACA